This 253-nucleotide ribosomal RNA is filed under the name uncultured bacterium. Its description in RNAcentral is "partial 16S ribosomal RNA". It matches the Rfam family "Bacterial small subunit ribosomal RNA", at positions 524 to 776 of the family's 1533-position model. The record is from RNAcentral.
UACGUAGGGGGCUAGCGUUGUCCGGAAUCAUUGGGCGUAAAGCGCGUGUAGGCGGUCCGGUAAGUCCGCUGUGAAAGUCGAGGGCUCAACCCUCGAAAGCCGGUGGAUACUGUCGGGCUCGAGUGCGGGAGAGGCGAGUGGAAUUCCUGGUGUAGCGGUGAAAUGCGCAGAUAUCAGGAGGAACACCGAUGGCGAAGGCAGGUCUCUGGGCCGAUACUGACGCUGAGGAGCGAAAGCGUGGGGAGCGAACCGG